GCGGCGGCGGAGACAGCGGUGGGGGAGAGCCGCGCGUGCCAAACGCCCUCCUCCCACCCCCUCCCACGACUCCAUGGUUCCGGAGUCAUCGUGCCCUCCCGCAGAAAACCCUAGCCACACCCCCGAGCAAAGGUCUCCGCCCAAACUCGGGGGGUUCGGGUUGUCCUGCUCCUAUAUUCGUGUUUCAGCCAAAUGGCAUCUUUUUCCUCAGACACCCAAUCCCAGUUGGCAGAGGAGAAACCCAGGUGGCCCCCAGCAGCAGACCCAGGACGUCUGACCAUCAGAGCAGAUCAGUGUUUAACAGCAUCCUUCUCGCUACAAGUAUUUUCCUCAAGAAUCGUGGAAGGAA
Molecule: long non-coding RNA, 349 nt
Organism: Prionailurus viverrinus (fishing cat)
Lineage: Eukaryota; Metazoa; Chordata; Mammalia; Carnivora; Felidae
Exons: 3
Source: RefSeq, a predicted model, not a curated record